RNAcentral lists this unclassified non-coding RNA (372 nucleotides) under Prostanthera phylicifolia. RNAcentral describes it as "partial external transcribed spacer". Lineage: Eukaryota; Viridiplantae; Streptophyta; Magnoliopsida; Lamiales; Lamiaceae. The record is from RNAcentral.
UGCAAUCCGUAAGGAAUCCACCACAACCGAUUCGAACGUCGUUCGCACGUAGCGUUGAACGCUUUGUUCCGAGGGGCAAAUAGAGAUCGAGGCCUCAUGCCCACAACAUGUUCCGCAUCCGAGAUUUCGAGCAUUACGCCCUGGGUGGGCUACACGAGCGUAUGCACACACACACACACACGAGAGUGCCAACCACAACGCAUGCUAUGAGUUCCAAUCCGCACCACAACACCGAUAGGCGAAGCAGAGCAAAAUGAAAAAAGGUACAAUUUAUCUAUCGUAAUGCCUCAAAGAUAGGUAUCGAGCACAGGAGGCCGCAAUCGGACGAGCUUGGAAGCCCUUGUGCCAAUGAUUGAAGAGACGCGGUUGGGA